AAAUAAUUAAUUGAAACAUGCUGCUGAAGAUCUUUUGCAUUAAUAAUUUUUAUCUCCUUCUGAGAAAUAUACAACAAAAGAUAAGGAGUGAUGCAUAACAAGAAAUAAGAUAUAUGACCAGCACUAAUUACCUGUCAUUUCAAUGGUGUCAUUAGGCGGGAUAGCUAUAAUGUUGUAGCAAGCAUCAAUUUGUUGUGCAACAAGAGGCCGGGUGGGUGCUGUGAACACAAUCUUGCCAAGAGGGUACCAGCGGUAGAAGUUAUACAUUAUGA
Molecule: long non-coding RNA, 272 nt
Organism: Amyelois transitella
Lineage: Eukaryota; Metazoa; Arthropoda; Insecta; Lepidoptera; Pyralidae
Exons: 2
Source: RefSeq, a predicted model, not a curated record